AUUGAACGCUGGCGGCAGGCCUAACACAUGCAAGUCGAGCGGUAACAGGAAACAGCUUGCUGUUUCGCUGACGAGUGGCGGACGGGUGAGUAAUGUCUGGGAAACUGCCUGAUGGAGGGGGAUAACUACUGGAAACGGUAGCUAAUACCGCAUAACGUCGCAAGACCAAAGAGGGGGACCUUCGGGCCUCUUGCCAUCGGAUGUGCCCAGAUGGGAUUAGCUAGUAGGUGGGGUAACGGCUCACCUAGGCGACGAUCCCUAGCUGGUCUGAGAGGAUGACCAGCCACACUGGAACUGAGACACGGUCCAGACUCCUACGGGAGGAAGCAGUGGGGAAUAUUGCACAAUGGGCGCAAGCCUGAUGCAGCCAUGCCGCGUGUAUGAAGAAGGCCUUCGGGUUGUAAAGUACUUUCAGCGGGGAGGAAGGGAGUAAAGUUAAUACCUUUGCUCAUUGACGUUACCCGCAGAAGAAGCACCGGCUAACUCCGUG
RNAcentral lists this ribosomal RNA (490 nucleotides) under uncultured bacterium. RNAcentral's name for it is "partial 16S ribosomal RNA". It matches the Rfam family "Bacterial small subunit ribosomal RNA", at positions 30 to 507 of the family's 1533-position model. The record is from RNAcentral.